AUAUGGUUUAUUUGUAAGUCGCUCUGGAUAAGAGCGUCUGCUAAAUGACGUAAA
Molecule: non-coding RNA, 54 nt
Organism: Salmo salar (Atlantic salmon)
Lineage: Eukaryota; Metazoa; Chordata; Actinopteri; Salmoniformes; Salmonidae
Source: Rfam